Molecule: long non-coding RNA, 679 nt
Organism: Sciurus carolinensis (gray squirrel)
Lineage: Eukaryota; Metazoa; Chordata; Mammalia; Rodentia; Sciuridae
Exons: 3
Source: RefSeq, a predicted model, not a curated record
UUUGGGCUCAUGUCUAAGUUUCCUAGCUGUACUGAGCGUUUGGUUUUGCUAAGAAUGGUAUUUCACAGGUGUCAGUCUGCAGUGGGCUAUUGUAGUAACUAGUGGACAUCCUGAUACCCUCAGCAUUUGCUUUAGGAUUUUUAACUGCAAUUCUAAAACUCAGUCUUACUUUCUACUUUGGCAAGAUAUUAGUGUGUGUUCAAAAUUUAACAAAUAAAACCACUUUGGGACGUGCGCCAAAUGUUUGCAGCUUUUUACAUAUAAGGUGACUUCUAACUAGAAACAAACAAGCAAACAAAAAGUUAAAAGGACCUUCUUAAAAGAUAACCAGAAAAUGUGAAGUCUAUCUUUGCAAUCAAAAAGAAGACAGUGCAAUUUAUUCUGAAAUGGACUCUUUUCAAGAUAUCCAGUCUCGUCUUCUAACCUUCUGUCCGUGUUGAACACCACGAAUUCUCCAAAGGUGCUGUGCUGCCUCCUAUCUUCUCCUAUGCCCAUUUUAACCACAGCCAGAUAUACCUCUCUCUGUUCCCUCCUUUUCCUGCCUACUUAUUUUUCAGAGUUCAGGUCUAUCUUCUCUUCCUUUGAUUAGUCCUCUUCUGCCUGCUUUCAAAACAAGUAUAGCUAUCAUUUACAUACUAUUUGCAUAUUUGACUGAUGUUUUAUCACACUUUCAUUGUAC